Molecule: ribosomal RNA, 324 nt
Filed under: Pseudo-nitzschia fraudulenta
Lineage: Eukaryota; Bacillariophyta; Bacillariophyceae; Bacillariales; Bacillariaceae
Description: LSU rRNA
Rfam family: Eukaryotic large subunit ribosomal RNA
Source: RNAcentral
AGAGGGUGAAACUCCCGUCCGCCUGGUAGAAUGAGUCUUUGUCAACGAGUCGAGUUGUUUGGGAUUGCAGCCCUAAUUUGGUGGUAAAUUCCAUCUAAAGCUAAAUAUUGGUGGGAGACCGAUAGCGUACAAGUACCGUGAGGGAGAGAUGCAAAGAACUUUGAAAAGAGAGUUAAAGAGUACCUGAAAUUGCUGAAACGGAAGCGAAGGAAACCAGUGUUUGUGGUUCAUAUUUCCUUGGCCACUUGUGGUUUGGGCGCUGUGAGCUUGCGUGGGUUUGGGUUGGUUGAUCCCUUUGGAUGAGCGCAGUCAGAGUUGAUGUCU